CCAGAGAUGGAUUGGUGCCUUCGGGAACUCUGAGACAGGUGCUGCAUGGCUGUCGUCAGCUCGUGUUGUGAAAUGUUGGGUUAAGUCCCGCAACGAGCGCAACCCUUAUCCUUUGUUGCCAGCGGUUAGGCCGGGAACUCAAAGGAGACUGCCAGUGAUAAACUGGAGGAAGGUGGGGAUGACGUCAAGUCAUCAUGGCCCUUACGAGUAGGGCUACACACGUGCUACAAUGGCGCAUACAAAGAGAAGCGACCUCGCGAGAGCAAGCGGACCUCAUAAAGUGCGUCGUAGUCCGGAUUGGAGUCUGCAACUCGACUCCAUGAAGUCGGAAUCGCUAGUAAUCGUGGAUCAGAAUGCCACGGUGAAUACGUUCCCGGGCCUUGUACACACCGCCCGUCACACCAUGGGAGUGGGUUGCAAAAGAAGUAGGUAGCUUAACCUUCGGGAGGGCGCUUACCACUUUGUGAUUCAUGACUGGGGUGAAGUCGUAACAAGGUAACCGUAGGGGAACCUGCGGUUGGAUCACCUCCUU
Molecule: ribosomal RNA, 532 nt
Filed under: Enterobacter hormaechei
Lineage: Bacteria; Pseudomonadati; Pseudomonadota; Gammaproteobacteria; Enterobacterales; Enterobacteriaceae
Also listed under: 2 other names
Description: bacterial SSU rRNA
Rfam family: Bacterial small subunit ribosomal RNA
Source: RNAcentral